This is a non-coding RNA of Odocoileus virginianus texanus, 340 nucleotides long. The record is from RefSeq and is a predicted model, not a curated record. NCBI's taxonomy places the organism in Eukaryota, Metazoa, Chordata, Mammalia, Artiodactyla, Cervidae.
CCGAGGGACUCGAUCGGCAGUUGUGCUGGGGCUGGGGGCAGUUGGAUGAAGCCCUCGAUCACGGUGCACCGCACAGGAGAUGAGAGGCUCUGCCGUGUGCUUCUGGCAGCUUCCACUGUGUUCCUGUGAGUGGGAUGGGCUGGCGGGCCAGAAUGGUCCUUGAUGCCAAGCCCGCCCCGACUUUCGAAAAGCUAACCCUAGGACAUCGAGAAACAAAGAAACCCAGGCCCAUUCUAUGGCAGAAGGAGGGAUGCAAGAGAAAAUAUUUUUUUUUUAUGAAGAAAUUGUGAUAUGUUUAAAAUGUUUACAUCAAACCAAUAAAUGGCAUUAACCCCCAAAA